Long non-coding RNA from Strigops habroptila (Kakapo), 2875 nucleotides. Ensembl lists it as uncharacterized. The record is from Ensembl. Lineage: Eukaryota; Metazoa; Chordata; Aves; Psittaciformes; Psittacidae.
GCCAGUGAGGAGUGGCACAAGAAGCUGGGAGGAAGCAGAGACAGGACACCUGACCCAAACUAGCCAAAGGGGUAUUCCAUACCACAGCAUGUCAUGCCCAGUAUAUAAACUGGGGGGAAUUACCCAGAAAGGACUGAGUGCCGCUCAGGUCAGGCUGGAUAUCAGUUGGCAGGUGCCCUGUAACAGAACAGUCACAAUCCCAGUAGACUGCAUGCAUUCAUGGAGUACUGCAGCUACUGCAUACACAUUCUACUCCAACAAUAAUCCAAGAAGGGAAGUGGCACAGGUUAUCUGCAUUGGCAUGAGGCAUUUGGGGUGUCCUUCAGACUCCUUUUUCACAGCAAGCCCUUUUUCCUGGGACCACCUUUCUGAUGUUUCCUUACCUAUCACAAGGAAUGUGCAUGAAUUGCCGAGGUGAGUAUCUCCAGAGAGGACGCCUUUAACACCGGAGCGGAGGGAAGCACAGCGUCCCGGAGCCUCAGUUCGGAGCCGCAAGAACCACCGAGGGAGCCUCAAGUCCUCGACAGGACUUGCCCAGGAGCCGGCAGCUCAGCUGACGCGAGCAGCUGACUCACAGGGGGCGGUGCCAGGAGUGGCGGCACCAGCCCUCAGUGGGGAAAAACCCAUCCCAGGGAGCGCGAGCGACCGGGAGCGCGGCGACCAGGGCGGGCAAACAGGGCGUGGCACGUCAGUCAGGGCGUGGCGCGGCAGUUGGCGCAGGCAGGGCGAGCGGGCAGCGAGCGGGAUGGUAAGCACUCGCCUCAGGACCCGGGCCCGCUCUGGGAGCUCUGCCCCGGCGGUGGCCAGCCUAGGCACCCAGACAGAGCCGAUGAGAGGGGAGGCUGCGGCUCAGAGCUCGGAGUGUAGAAAGUGCCUCGACUGGUCUCUUGAGGCGAGGGUGCACAAUGGACAGGGCUGCACUCGGUGCGCCCUGGUGGAGGUCCUCCUGCAGCAGGUGGCUGAGCUGCGGGAGGCUGUUGGAGAGCUAAAAGAUGCCAAGGAAGCUGAGAGGAAGCUGGGCUGCUUGCUCCAGGCCCAAACUGUGCAGGGGCUGCAAACGUCCAGCGUUGCUCAUAUAGGAAGGAAGGAAGGAGGGCAGCAACCCAGGAAGCUGGGAAUUAGUCACGAGAAAAACUAACAAAAAAAGGAGGAAGAGGACAAUUAACAAGAAGGGGCUUCCUCCUAAAUCUGAUGUCCCCACCCAGCACCGCUUCGCAGUUCUGCAGGGGGCUAAUGAGAAAGCACCCACCACACCUAAUGAGCAUCCUGCUGAUGCACCAGUAAAGAGGAUCACUACUGGUGCCCUCAGGAAAAAGCGGAGGGUCAUAGUAGUAGGGGACUCUACUUUGAAAGGCACAGAGGCACUCAUCUGCUUGCCUGAUCCAGUCUUGAGGGAGGUGUGUUGCCUGCCAGGGGCUCGGAUCAGGGAUGUUGCUGAGAGGCUGCCUGCUCUAGUAAGUCCUGCUGACUAUUACCCCCUCCUAGUGGUCCAUGUGGGUGCUAGAGAUAUAGAUAGCAGUAGCCUGGAGAACAUUAUGAAGGACUACAGAGCCCUGGGAGAGGUGGUUAGGGGCUCUGGAGCUCAGAUAGUUUUUUCAUCGAUUCUCCAGGACAAAGGGGAGGACCUUAAAAAAGCUAGGCGUGUCUGGCAGGUUAAUAAAUGGUUAGAAUGCUGGUGCCAUAGUCAGGGGUUUGACUAUUUAGAACAUGGGGCUCCAUUUGGGAGGCCAGAUCUACUGGAGGCUGGUGGAGCUGGUCUGACAAAGAAGGGGAAGAGCUGUUUUGGUAGGAGGCUUGCCAGGCUGGUCAGGAAAGCUUUAAACUAGAUGUGUUGGGGGAGAGGAGCAUUGAUCCAUCCCAACACUCCUGGUCAGUUGCCAGCACCUGUAAUAAGUGCUUGGAGCGAUGUAGAGAUGUUCCAGCUGCCCCAGCCAUUGAGUCGGCUGCAUUUGGAGCUCGGCUAAGGUGCCUCCAUACAAGCACCCGUAGUAUGGGGAACAAGCAAGAGGAAUUAGAGAUGUGUGCAAGGCUACGGGAAUAUGAUGUCAUUGGUAUCACAGAAACAUGGUGGGAUGGCUUCUAUGACUGGAGUGUCGGAAUGGAAGGUUACAGGCUGUUUAGAAAAGACAGGCCAGGCAGACGGGGAGGGGGUGUUGCUAUCUAUGUCAGUGAUAGGCUAGAGAGUAUGGAACUCUGUCUGGGGACCAGUGAUGAGGUAACAGAGUGUUUGUGGGUCAGGAUCAAAGGGAAAACAGCAACGGGGGACAUUACGGUGGGGAUCUGUUACAGGCCACCUGAUGAAGAGGACUCUGUGGAUGAAGCGCUCUACAGACAGAUAGGAGCAGCCUCACGCUCGCAGGCCCUUGUCCUCAUGGGGGACUUCAACCAUCCUGACAUCUGUUGGAGGGACGGUACGGCCCGGCACAAGCAAUCCAGGAGGUUCCUCGAUUGUGUGUAAGACAACUUCCUCUUUCAAGCAAUAGAGGAGCCGACGAGGAGAGGUGCCAUGCUGGACCUCGUGCUCACCAACAGGGAGGGACUGGUUGGAAAUGUGACGCUCCAGGGCAGCUUUGGCUCUAGUGAUCACGAGAUGGUUGAGUUUGAGAUCCUCAGGACGGUGAGAAGAGCGUGCAGCAAGCUCACUGCCCUGGACUUCAAGAAAGCAGACUUUGGCCUCUUCAGGAACCUCCUUAGUAAGGUUUCAUGGGAUACAGUCCUAGAGGGCAGGGGGGCCCAAGACUGCUGGUCAGUAUUCAAGGAUCACCUGCUACAUGCUCAAGAGUGUUGCAUCCUGACUAGAAGAAAGUGCAGCAGGAGGGCCAGGAGACCUCCAUGGAUGGACAAGGAGCUGCUGAGGAAACUUAGAGGGAAAAAA